AUCCAACUGAUGAGUCUCAAAUAGGACGAAACGCGCGUCCUGGAU
This 45-nucleotide non-coding RNA is filed under the name Schistosoma japonicum. The record is from RNAcentral. Lineage: Eukaryota; Metazoa; Platyhelminthes; Trematoda; Strigeidida; Schistosomatidae.